CUGGUUGAUCCUGCCGGCGGCCACCGCUAUUGGAAUUCGAUUAAGACAUGCGAGUCGAGAGUCGUAAGGACUCGGCGGACCGCUCAGUAACACGCGGAUAACAUGCCCUUAGGUGGAGGAUAAUCUCGGAAAACUGAGGAUAAUACUCCAUAGAUCUACUAUGCUGGAAUGCUUGUAGGUCCAAAACUCCGGUGCCUAAGGAUUGGUCUGCGGCGUAUCAGGUCGUAGUGGGUGUAACGGACCCACUAGCCGAUGACGCGUAAGGGCCUUGAGAGAGGGAGCCCUGAGAUGGACUCUGAGACAUGAGUCCAGGCCCUACGGGGCGCAGCAGUCGCGAAAACUUCACAAUGGGGGAAACCCCGAUGAGGGAAUUCCAAGUGUCAGCACAUUGUGUUGACUGUUCCCCUGUCUAAAAAACAGGAGAAGUAAGGGCCGGGUAAGACGGGUGCCAGCCGCCGCGGUAAUACCCGCGGCCCGAGUGGUGGUCGAUAUUAUUGAGCCUAAAACGUUCGUAGCCGGUCUUGUAAAUCCUUGGGUAAAUCGGCCAGCUUAACUGUCCGAAGUCCGGGGAGACUGCAAGACUUGGGAUCGGGAGAGGUCAGAGGUACUUCUGGGGUAGGGGUAAAAUCCUGUAAUCCUAGAAGGACCACCGGUGGCGAAGGCGUCUCACCAGAACGGACCUGACGGCAAGGGACGAAAGCUAGGGGCACGAACCGGAUUAGAUACCCGGGUAGUCCUAGCCGUAAACGAUACUCGCUAGGUGUCGGCCACGGUGCGACCGUUGUCGGUGCCGUAGGGAAGCCGUGAAGCGAGCCACCUGGGAAGUACGGCCGCAAGGCUGAAACUUAAAGGAAUUGGCGGGGAGCACCACAACGGGUGGAGCUUGCGGUUUAAUUGGAUUCAACGCCGGA
Molecule: ribosomal RNA, 911 nt
Filed under: uncultured archaeon
Lineage: Archaea
Description: bacterial SSU rRNA
Rfam family: Archaeal small subunit ribosomal RNA
Source: RNAcentral